AGCGAACGCUGGCGGCAGGCCUAACACAUGCAAGUCGAACGAACUCUUCGGAGUUAGUGGCGGACGGGUGAGUAACACGUGGGAACGUGCCUUUAGGUUCGGAAUAACUCAGGGAAACUUGUGCUAAUACCGAAUGUGCCCUUCGGGGGAAAGAUUUAUCGCCUUUAGAGCGGCCCGCGUCUGAUUAGCUAGUUGGUGAGGUAAAGGCUCACCAAGGCGACGAUCAGUAGCUGGUCUGAGGGGAUGAUCAGCCACAUUGGGACUGAGACACGGCCCAAACUCCUACGGGAGGCAGCAGUGGGGAAUCUUGCGCAAUGGGCGAAAGCCUGACGCAGCCAUGCCGCGUGAAUGAUGAAGGUCUUAGGAUUGUAAAAUUCUUUCACCGGGGACGAUAAUGACGGUACCCGGAGAAGAAGCCCCGGCUAACUUCGUG
This 433-nucleotide ribosomal RNA is filed under the name uncultured bacterium. RNAcentral describes it as "partial 16S ribosomal RNA". It matches the Rfam family "Bacterial small subunit ribosomal RNA", at positions 29 to 507 of the family's 1533-position model. The record is from RNAcentral.